CUGCUGCCUUCCGUAGGAGUCUGGUCCGUGUCUCAGUACCAGUGUGGGGGACCUUCCUCUCAGAACCCCUACGCAUCGUCGGUUAGGUGGGCCGUUACCCCGCCUACUGCCUAAUGCGCCGCAUGCCCAUCCCUGUCCGGCCGAAGCCUUUCCUGCCUCCGGGAUGCCCCGGUGGCAUGUACGCGGGUUUAGCCCGCCUUUCGCCGGGUUAUCCCCCUGCGAGGGCAGGUUGCAUACGUGUUACUCACCCGUGCGCCGGUCGCCGGCGAGAA
This 272-nucleotide ribosomal RNA is filed under the name uncultured bacterium. RNAcentral's name for it is "partial 16S ribosomal RNA". The record is from RNAcentral.